UGCUAGAGAAAGUANAGUGGCACACGGGUGAGUAACGCGUGGGUAAUCUGCCUCCGAAUCGGGGAGAGCAUUGCGAAAGCGAUGCUAAUACCGGAUAAAAUCUGGUUGGCUUAGGUGAACCGGAUCAAAGGUGGUCUCUUUAUAAAAGCUACCGUUUGGAGAUGAGCUCGCGUACCAUUAGCUAGUUGGUGAGGUAAAGGCUCACCAAGGCGACGAUUGUUAGCUGGUCUGAGAGGAUGAUCAGCCACACCGGAACUGGAACACGGUCCGGACUCCUACGGGAGGCAGCAGUGAGGAAUUUUGCGCAAUGGGGGAAACCCUGGCGCAGCAACGCCGCGUGAGUGAUGAAGGCUUUCGGGUCGUAAAGCUCUGUCAGGUGGGAAGAACCCACCAAGUGUUAAGACCACUUGGUGCUGACGGUACCACCGAAGGAAGCACCGGCUAACUCCGUGCCAGCAGCCGCGGUAAUACGGGGGGUGCGAGCGUUAUUCGGAAUCAUUGGGCGUAAAGGGCGCGCAGGCGGUUUUGUAAGUCAGAUGUGAAAUCCCGGGGCUUAACCCCGGAAGUAGCAUAUGAAACUAUGAGACUAGAGUAUGGGAGAGGGAAGCGGAAU
RNAcentral lists this ribosomal RNA (613 nucleotides) under uncultured organism. RNAcentral describes it as "bacterial SSU rRNA". It matches the Rfam family "Bacterial small subunit ribosomal RNA", at positions 78 to 667 of the family's 1533-position model. The record is from RNAcentral.